RNAcentral lists this long non-coding RNA (536 nucleotides) under Olea europaea subsp. europaea. Lineage: Eukaryota; Viridiplantae; Streptophyta; Magnoliopsida; Lamiales; Oleaceae. The record is from RNAcentral.
AUCAUACCGUCUCAUAUCUUUAAAUCCGAUAAGAGUUUAUAUCAUAUCAUAUCAUAUUGUUGUGUCGAAAUGACCAUAUCAUUCAUAUCAUAACAUAUCAUAUCAUAAUUUUAACUUUCAUGAGUAUAAAAUUCAUUAACAUGAAAAAAAUAUUAAAACGGGGUAGAAAAAUAUUACACUUCAAUAUCCUGCCUUCUUAACUUGCUUUAAUUUUGGAAGACAAAACAAAAGAAUUCAUGCUCCAACAAUCCUUUUCUCUGCCCCUACUUACAUACUGUGCAUGUAUGUAUAUUUUAUUUUUUUUGUGUCCUUUCCGUCAUGUGAAAUAGAUUUUAUAUACAUAGACAAUUGGUGUAUCGUGAGAAAACGUGUGAGAGUGAAAUGAGGUUAUGGAUGAGUAUUGGGAACUGAAAUUUUGAUUAAGUCUUGUCAUUCAAAAAUCAAAAUCAGUACAUUUCCCUACACGUGUGGCAUUCCCAUUUAAUUCAAAGUUCUAGUUAAGGAAAAAAAUGGAUAAAUAUAAAAACAAAGUUGGU